CGAUUAGGGUUCGAUCCUGGCUCAGAACGAACGCUGGCGGCAGGCCUAACACAUGCAAGUCGAGCGCAGUCCUUCGGGACCGAGCGGCGGACGGGUUAGUAACGCGUGGGAAUAUGCCCUUCUCUACGGAAUAGCCUCGGGAAACUGAGAUUAAUACCGUAUACGCCCUUCGGGGGAAAGAUUUAUCGGAGAAGGAUUAGCCCGCGUAAGAUUAGAUAGUUGGUGGGGUAACGGCCUACCAAGUCUACGAUCUUUAGCUGGUUUGAGAGGAUGAUCAGCAACACUGGGACUGAGACACGGCCCAGACUCCUACGGGAGGCAGCAGUAGGGAAUCUUAGACAAUGGGCGCAAGCCUGAUCUAGCCAUGCCGCGUGAGUGAAGAAGGCCCUAGGGUCGUAAAACUCUUUCGCCAGAGAUGAUAAUGACAGUAUCUGGUAAAGAAACCCCGGCUAACUCCGUGCCAGCAGCCGCGGUAAUACGGAGGGGGUUAGCGUUGUUCGGAAUUACUGGGCGUAAAGCGUACGUAGGCGGAUUAGUAAGUUAGGGGUGAAAUCCCAGGGCUCAACCCUGGAACUGCCUCUAAAACUGCUAGUCUUGAGUUCGAGAGAGGUGAGUGGAAUUCCAAGUGUAGAGGUGAAAUUCGUAGAUAUUUGGAGGAACACCAGUGGCGAAGGCGGCUCACUGGCUCGAUACUGACGCUGAGGUACGAAAGUGUGGGGAGCAAACAGGAUUAGAUACCCUGGUAGUCCACACCGUAAACGAUGAAUGCCAGACGUCAGCAAGUAUACUUGUUGGUGUCACACCUAACGGAUUAAGCAUUCCGCCUGGGGAGUACGGUCGCAAGAUUAAAACUCAAAGGAAUUGACGG
Molecule: ribosomal RNA, 868 nt
Filed under: uncultured bacterium
Lineage: Bacteria
Description: bacterial SSU rRNA
Rfam family: Bacterial small subunit ribosomal RNA
Source: RNAcentral